RNAcentral lists this long non-coding RNA (658 nucleotides) under Vombatus ursinus (common wombat). RNAcentral's name for it is "lncRNA (ENSVURG00010016869.1)". The record is from RNAcentral. Lineage: Eukaryota; Metazoa; Chordata; Mammalia; Diprotodontia; Vombatidae.
AAUUGGUCAGGCUUCUUGCAGUCUGCAUUCAAAUAUGGGUGGGGUCAAGCUACAAAAGAUAGACCAGCUGGAAAUCCUGGAAGCUGAGUCAGGGAACUGUGCCUAGAGACUGGGAACAGACAAACACAAAACAAGUCAGCCCAUCCAGCAGUCCCUGUGGCACAGCCAGGAUAGUGAAUUGGAAUAGGAUGCAAUCUCUGAUGCCAAAAGAUUUUCAAUACUGAUUCCAAAGGGAAUUCAAGACCUACAUUUUUGUUAAGAGAUUUGAGGAUCCUUCACCCCAGAAAGACUCCACCCAGUCCAACAAGUUUUGAUGACACUUUUACCCUGCUGAAUGAGGCUGGUCUCAGUUUUCAUGAAGCUCUUCUGGAAUUUUUGGACAUAGACAACAGAGAUGGAGCAGCAGUGAGCUGUGGGUCUUGGAAAAAGGUUUUGUUUUUCAGAUGCUUCUAUCAAAGGCAAGAAUCUCUGAAUAAUGUGAAAUGGGGGAAUUUUAAGAAAUGGAAACAUAUUGGUUAUGAAGAAUGAAGCCCAGGGACAAGUGACUAUGUGGUCUUUGAGAAACAGUAGCAGCAGGAAAGAAGAAAAAGUCUGGCAGCUAAUUGGAUAAGAGGGCAAGACUAUAAUCAUCCUUAUUGUUGCUGCUUUGAAGUUGAAA